UGCUUUUACAUAGCUCACACUGCACGCUGU
Molecule: non-coding RNA, 30 nt
Filed under: Rattus norvegicus (Norway rat)
Lineage: Eukaryota; Metazoa; Chordata; Mammalia; Rodentia; Muridae
Source: RNAcentral